Gallus gallus (chicken) is the source of this 1493-nucleotide long non-coding RNA. The record is from Ensembl. Lineage: Eukaryota; Metazoa; Chordata; Aves; Galliformes; Phasianidae.
AGGAAGAGGAUUGCUGUGGCACUGCGAUGGAAGGAUCCCUUGUGCCGGGCUCUGGCCAUGGCUCUGCGAAGGGGCUGGGGGUGCUGAUCCCCUCUGCUGCCGUAACUCCCACAGCCAACACACUCAGAUCACGUCGUAUCUGGGCUUCGGCAUCAUGUUGAGUCAGAGAUGACAGCAGCAGAUCCACUUCAUGAGUCAUCUGCUUAAUCCCUUUCCAGACAGAGGGCUCUUCCUUUUGUUAUUAGUCAGUGUGUCAAUGUGCUGCCUCGCUGUUAGAUGUGCUGGUUGUUGUUUCCUUGCUGCCUCAAUGAGGUCAUUUUUUUUCUGUGCUUUUGACUCCGUGGCAGUGGCAUUUCCAGCCAUGGUGAGGAUUUCUACCUCUGUCGGUUAGCUGGGUUCAUGCCGUGCUCCAGCAGACCGCCUCCCCUCCUGGAGGGAGAGCGGGCAAGGAGGUCUCCCACGAAAGAGCUGAUCGAAUGCAUUGGGAAUGGCCAUGUGAACAGCAAACUCUGCUCCUCAAAGCCUUGGAAAUGAAGCCCACCAGAAACCAGGCUCAGCUUUGGCCAGGAAGAUUUCAAAGUGAAUCCUGAAUGCCACUGGAAGAUGUAUAUGUGUCCGACAGCAUCCCUUGCUUCCCUGCUAUUCUGAAGCACUAUCUAGCAGGAAGAAUACCCGCUCACCUCUGCUGGCUCUCAGUGGUCCCACAAGGAGGGCUGCCCGCUCUCUGCUGCAGCAGAGGCUCCAACAAGCGGCUGUCUUGCAGCUUGCAGCACCCACUGCAGCUCCGAGGAGGCCCCAGGCAGCAGCAGUGGGGCAGCAGUGCAGCCGCUCCCGUCCCAAUGGGCGCAGGAUUUCCAUCAGCGCUCUGAUGUCUGGAUGGAAACUGGGACUGCAGCUCAUGCAUAUACAGACGGAGCUGCUGGACCAGUAAUUCUUCUGUCUCUUUUUCUACUUCUAAGACAUAGCUCUGAAUUGAAUCCCUGAAAAUGGAAGGUCCGGGCCUCAGAAGCAGGGUGACGAUUUGGAGGAUGCGUGGCUCUCCCCUCACUGCAGAGGAGGGAGGGGUUCUGUCCUUUGGGGGGACAUUCCAGUUUGGGGUAAUGCAGUGGAAACACCAUGUGUGUCCUUUUUCAUUCAAAUUACACACAAAAAAAUUGUGAUACGAGUCAUGAGCAAAGGCAGAACAGAGCCUACAGUCUUUAAUCUUUAAAAUCUAUUUUACAUGAUUAAAAGGAUCCUGCCUGGAGAAAAGCAAGACUGGCUAUUUAUAUCUCCAUUCUUCUCCCCCCUCUCUUUUUUCCUCAGAAAAUACUGUGCAGUCUUUCACAUCUGAAAGACCACGGCUGGCUGCCAUUAAUUUUAAUGCUAAAUCCUCAUCAGCAUUUCAAAACAUUAUGAAAAUGUCGAAGAAACUGUCUUCUAGUAGCAUGAAAAUAUGGCAGGCAGCAACCUAAAUAAUACUGUAAGUGCCCUGGUAAGUACAAGAGCACAUG